CGAACGUGGGUAACCUGCCCAUCAGAGGGGGAUAACAUUCGGAAACGGAUGCUAAAACCGCAUAGGUUCUUGAGUCGCAUGACCCGAGAAGGAAAAGAGGCUUCGGCUUCUGCUGAUGGAUGGACCCGCGGUGCAUUAGCUAGUUGGUGAGGUAACGGCUCACCAAGGCCGUGAUGCAUAGCCGACCUGAGAGGGUGAUCGGCCACAUUGGGACUGAGACACGGCCCAA
This 229-nucleotide ribosomal RNA is filed under the name uncultured bacterium. RNAcentral describes it as "partial 16S ribosomal RNA". It matches the Rfam family "Bacterial small subunit ribosomal RNA", at positions 112 to 334 of the family's 1533-position model. The record is from RNAcentral.